RNAcentral lists this ribosomal RNA (510 nucleotides) under uncultured bacterium. RNAcentral's name for it is "partial 16S ribosomal RNA". It matches the Rfam family "Bacterial small subunit ribosomal RNA", at positions 28 to 523 of the family's 1533-position model. The record is from RNAcentral.
GACGAACGCUGGCGGCGUGCCUAAUACAUGCAAGUCGAGCGAAUGACGAGAAGCUUGCUUCUCUGAUUUAGCGGCGGACGGGUGAGUAACACGUGGGCAACCUGCCCUACAGAUCGGGAUAACUCAGGGAAACCUGGGCUAAUACCGGAUAAUCCUUCGAAUCACAUGUUUUGAAGUUGAAAGGCGCUUCGGCGUCACUGUAGGAUGGGCCCGCGGUGCAUUAGCUAGUUGGUGGGGUAACGGCGUACCAAGGCAACGAUGCAUAGCCGACCUGGGAGGGUGUUCGGCGACAUUGGGACUGAGACACGGCCCAAACUCCUCCGGGAGGCAGCAGUAGGGAAUCUUCCACAAUGGACGAAAGUCUGAUGGAGCAACGCCGCGUGAGUGAUGAAGGUUUUCGGAUCGUAAAACUCUGUUGUAAGGGAAGAACAAGUACGUUAGGAAAUGAACGUACCUUGACGGUACCUUAUUAGAAAGCCACGGCUAACUACGUGCCAGCAGCCGCCGCAG